Molecule: long non-coding RNA, 708 nt
Organism: Notothenia coriiceps (black rockcod)
Lineage: Eukaryota; Metazoa; Chordata; Actinopteri; Perciformes; Nototheniidae
Exons: 6
Source: RefSeq, a predicted model, not a curated record
CUCCUUCACUGUCUGCGUUGAAGCUACACUCUGCAGCAUGUGGCUCUCACAGGGCAUGAUACUUCUAUAUCUAAAUAUGAAGUUUGCUGCAGACGAACCACCCUGAAAAGGCACUUUUCCUCUUGCGGAAUGAAGCUAAUCUUCCUACAACAGAUGCGAAGUCCUUCUUCGUAAUGAAAGGUUCACGUGGGUCCUCGUUGACACUGGCUGAAAAUGAGGAGGCCUGGUGAAAGGUUCUUGAGGGUCGUCGGUGGGAAAGGAUGCGGGCCUGGUGAAAGGUCCCGAUCAGUAAUGAAAGCCUAUGACGUCCCUCUGGUGCUGAAAAAAGUUGCUCAGAACAAAUGUAAGGAGAAACCGAUUGGAUUGAUCCAGAAGUCAGACUCUUCAGUAGAUUUGUUGGUGUACAAAUUAAAUACAAUGUUUUCUCUAAAACGUGUUUAAUAAAAUUGUUUGUAUAAAACAUUGAAGUACAAUGGCACAUCGAAAGUAACAUGAAUCUUAUUGCAUGCAUUGGUCAAUCUGUGUUGAAGGUCGAUCUGUAAGAUUUCUUCUUUAAAUUCUCCAAGAACACUUGCUCUUCUUGGAGGUAUUCACGGUCCUGUGGGGAGGUGGAGAAGGAAUUAUAAUGAAGAAACUCAAUGUUAAAAUGUACUGAUGAAUGUGACUGUGGCAUUUUGCUCCUAUUGACAAUAAAAACCUCAAUAUCAA